RNAcentral lists this ribosomal RNA (1680 nucleotides) under Triticum aestivum (bread wheat). RNAcentral's name for it is "partial small subunit ribosomal RNA". The record is from RNAcentral. Lineage: Eukaryota; Viridiplantae; Streptophyta; Magnoliopsida; Poales; Poaceae.
AUGCCGAAAAGUACAAUGAAGUUAAGAAGCUUCUCUGUUCUCUGGGAGCGUCGCUUCUUCGAGUUAAUUUUUCUUUUCUGGAGAGAUGGGGCAAGGAGGAGCCUCUUGCAUAUACUUGACUCACCAGCUUCAUAUGGUUUAAUUUCUGAUUACAUAGGUGCAAAUCUUCGACCAACAAAUAGAAAACUGACUCAUGGAUAUCUUGGGAGGACAGCCAUACUUCUGCUCCAUGCAGCACGAUUGGAUGAUGCACUAAUUUCAAGGCUGCUACAGUACCUAGGCAAUGAUUCUGAGUGGGCAAAUUUUUAUGGAUCUUUGAAGAGUUUUCUUGAUACUGGUGUUGAUACCUCUUUGAUCUCGAACUUCAGGCUUGCUCUUGACUUUACCUUCAAUGGUGUGAUAUGGAGGGAGGAACUGGACUACAUAUCCCCAAUAUGCUAUGUGGGUCUGAUGGAGUGCCUUGGUUUUUUGUCUUCAGCACACCUGCUACAGAAAGGUUGUGGUGUGUACUGCACGAAAUCUCAGUUGGUCAAUAUGCUGGAGUGCCGCACCAGCAAGGUUUACCUUGAAACCUGCCUGGCAUCUACUUCAAGACCAGAUUACGAUAUUUUACAGACGAUAUUCGAAUCAGGCCGUUUCAUAUUUCAGACAAUUAUGAAUAUCUUGACAGAUAAGAAAAUGCUUCUGGAGUGGGUCCGGAGGACUUCAACUCCUAGUAGUUCAUACACUGAAGUCCUCCUGAGACUAGUGGUCAUACUUUAUCCACUGAUCCUAACUCAUGACGUGGGGAUUUCCUAUUAUAAGAUCACAAAUACUCUUCUGGACUGUAGAGUCUUCGAGGAUUUACCUCGGGAGUUCUCUCAGAAGAUCUUACGUGCUUUGCAAAUGAGGCCUCGUGCACCAAGCAACUUAAUAAGAGUGGUUCCUGACGCACUUGCUGCAAUAGGAGAUCGUAUGGUCGUUAUGGGUUCGUCCAAAGGCCCAGCAAUCUGUGAGAACAUAAAUGUUGUUAUGAUUAGCAAGGAGGAUUUGUAUGAUGUUCCGAAGAUAAUGGCUAUUCUUUGCCCUGAAGAGGGAAGUUCUGUAAAGCAAGAGGCUGCACUGCCAGAAAAAUCGGAUGGUAACAAACUGUGUAAUGUUGCUGGAAACGUUCCUAAGGCUGUACAUGAUACCAAGGUGGAGAGCACUGGAGAGAUGGAUUUAAGUGGUGAGACUACUGCCUUCUGGGAGAUGGUUGAGACUUUUCAGGUCAACAAGGAAGGUCAGAAAGAUGCAAGGUCUAUUAUUCAGUUCCUUAGGAGCGCCAUUCCAUGGCUGACUGAUGCACUACUGCAAGAAGAGGUCAGGCACAUCUGCAGCGAAUUCGAAGAACGUUCUGCCAGGACGGAGAAGACAGCUUGUCAGACUGUGGAGGAUCUGUACUCAAUGUGGCAAGAUGGCGAGAGCAAACUGCAGACGGUCAUCAGCUUCCUGCGUUCCGCAAGGGCGUCCGCGAAAGAAGAUGGCAGAAGGAAUGAAGCCGCAGCCGCCAUCCAGCCGCAGACUGACGGGGCAGACGGACAGGCCGGAUGUUCGGGCAAGGAGGCGGAAUCGGUGAAGGAAGAAGCGGUCACACAAAAGGGCGCUCAGAAGAAGAACAAGAAGAAACCUAGGAAAUCCAAAGGCCGUGGCAAGAAGUGA